RNAcentral lists this transfer RNA (83 nucleotides) under Actinomycetales bacterium. RNAcentral's name for it is "tRNA-Leu". It matches the Rfam family "tRNA". From Rfam's summary of the family: Transfer RNA (tRNA) molecules are approximately 80 nucleotides in length. Their secondary structure includes four short double-helical elements and three loops (D, anti-codon, and T loops). RNAcentral also lists the same sequence under 1 other name. Lineage: Bacteria; Bacillati; Actinomycetota; Actinomycetes; Actinomycetales. The record is from RNAcentral.
GUCCGGGUGGCGGAAUGGCAGACGCGCUAGCUUGAGGUGCUAGUGCCCUAACGGGCAUGGGGGUUCAAGUCCCCCUCCGGACA